This 392-nucleotide ribosomal RNA is filed under the name uncultured bacterium. Its description in RNAcentral is "bacterial SSU rRNA". It matches the Rfam family "Bacterial small subunit ribosomal RNA", at positions 362 to 771 of the family's 1533-position model. The record is from RNAcentral.
UAUUGCACAAUGGAGGAAACUCUGAUGCAGUGACGCCGCGUGCAGGAAGAAGGUUUUCGGAUUGUAAACUGCUUUAGAUAGGGAAGAAAAAAGACAGUACCUAUAGAAUAAGCUCCGGCUAACUACGUGCCAGCAGCCGCGGUAAUACGUAGGGAGCAAGCGUUAUCCGGAUUUAUUGGGCGUAAAGCGCGCGCAGGCGGGUUGCUAAGCGGGACCUCUAAUCUUGGGGCUCAACCUCAAGCCGGGUCCCGAACUGGCAGCCUCGAGUGCGGUAGGGGUAAGCGGAAUUCCCGGUGUAGCGGUGGAAUGCGCAGAUAUCGGGAAGAACACCGAUGGCGAAGGCAGCUUACUGGGCCGACACUGACGCUGAGGCGCGAAAGCUAGGGGAGCGA